This 525-nucleotide ribosomal RNA is filed under the name Streptomyces olivaceus. RNAcentral's name for it is "bacterial SSU rRNA". It matches the Rfam family "Bacterial small subunit ribosomal RNA", at positions 74 to 597 of the family's 1533-position model. The record is from RNAcentral. Lineage: Bacteria; Bacillati; Actinomycetota; Actinomycetes; Kitasatosporales; Streptomycetaceae.
GCUUGCUCUCGGGUGACGAGCGGCGGACGGGUGAGUAAUGUCUGGGAAACUGCCUGAUGGAGGGGGAUAACUACUGGAAACGGUAGCUAAUACCGCAUAACGUCGCAAGACCAAAGUGGGGGACCUUCGGGCCUCAUGCCAUCAGAUGUGCCCAGAUGGGAUUAGCUAGUAGGUGGGGUAACGGCUCACCUAGGCGACGAUCCCUAGCUGGUCUGAGAGGAUGACCAGCCACACUGGAACUGAGACACGGUCCAGACUCCUACGGGAGGCAGCAGUGGGGAAUAUUGCACAAUGGGCGCAAGCCUGAUGCAGCCAUGCCGCGUGUGUGAAGAAGGCCUUCGGGUUGUAAAGCACUUUCAGCGGGGAGGAAGGCGUUGAGGUUAAUAACCUUGUCGAUUGACGUUACCCGCAGAAGAAGCACCGGCUAACUCCGUGCCAGCAGCCGCGGUAAUACGGAGGGUGCAAGCGUUAAUCGGAAUUACUGGGCGUAAAGCGCACGCAGGCGGUCUGUCAAGUCGGAUGUGA